This 1211-nucleotide long non-coding RNA is filed under the name Gallus gallus (chicken). RNAcentral describes it as "long non-coding RNA NONGGAT004120". Lineage: Eukaryota; Metazoa; Chordata; Aves; Galliformes; Phasianidae. The record is from RNAcentral.
AGCCAUCAAGUCACAAAAAUAUGGAAAUAUCUAUGGCUUGGAGCAUGAAAAUCAACAUAUGUAGUCAUCAUGCAUUUUUUGGAGGAUAGGCUAAACAAACUCUGUCACUUCUGCCUUGCACUGGAACCCGCUUUCUCUUUUAGGGAUCACUCUGCCGUUUCCUAUUAGCGUUAGCAGUGCUCCAAAUUGCAAAACCUUCAGAUUAACAUGCCGAAUCCUGUCAUUUUUCCCACAGGCUGUCUGGCAAUGAUAAUCCACUAAAGGAUUGUUUCAUCCGAGUGGCGGUGUCCAAGUCAAACGCUGGCAACAGGCAGGGGAACCCAAACCUGUUGAGGCAGACUUCUGCCGCCCUGUGAGGAAUACGGAGCGACAGGCUGCAGGGGCGGGAGGCAAGGGACACGCUAUGCCCAAGCAGGGCGAGUCCAUGGGCUGUGCCCAUGAUGGAAGACCACGACUGCCAUCAUGAUAGCUGGAAGUUUGUGGGCCACGACGCCGAUCCUGGUCAGAGCGGGCCUGGGGCUGCGCUUGUUGGAGCAGUGCCUUGUCAGAUUAGCCAUACGGUUGCUGUGUGCAAUUCUCAACCUGGACAGACAGGCCUGCCAGGCAGAAACUGCUCAGGCAGAUGAUGCUGGGGAGGACAAAAAUUAUCCACCGCAAGACUAAGAAGACAGAUGACACCCAGCAGGAAUGGCGAGCCAAAUCAUCAGAAUCCACAAUACAGCUGGCUAGCCCUAGGCUACCUGCCUCUUUGAAGUGGAAGAGACAUCACCGAUGAGCUGUCAAAUUAGAUCACCAGCCUGGAAACGCUGAAAGAGAUUUAGUUCUUCCAGCAGAGAAGGGGAAGUGUAAUAGAUGAAAAUCUUCCUAAAGGGGCCAAGGCUAACAGGUAGGAUAUGCCAGCAUCCAGGUUUUGUGCAUUUUACCCAAAGAAUCACUGGCAAGUCAGUUGAUUUCAAGAGAUUUUCACCUACUCAGAGUGGACAGUGAAGAAAAGUAACUAAACUUGUUUGACUCAACCACUUCUGCUGUUAACUGGAAGCAAUACCUACGUUACCUGCCUGCCUCAUAGCACAACACUUGAAAGUCUGUUUGAACGUGGCUUGCUUGCAAGUGAUGGCCAACCUGGUAUUAAGGUGAAAAAGACAAGUCAAAGUGGGGUAAGUGUAAGAUCCCACUGAACACUUAUAAUUAUCAUAUUUAUUUCACUGUUG